AGUAGCACCGGAAUCCGCUAGGAAAAGUGAACUAGGUCCCCUUCACGCGUUCUCCGCUCGCUCUGACGCGCAGGAAAUUUACGUCAUCAAAGCUCGGCGGGUUAGGAAAGCCAAGGCUGAGGGAGGUCGCUAGUGCGCAAGCUCAAAGCUGUGUUGGCGUUAGGCGGCUGGCUGGGUAGGAGAGGCAAGUGCGUUUAAGGAGGCGGGUUUCUGAACGUGAAGAUCUAGUUUUUUGUUUUUGUUUUUGUUUUAUCAUAAAGUGUAGGGAAGAAAAGGAUCCCAAAACAAGUAUCAGUGAUAGAAAUCACUAUCAGUAUAGGGUUUUCGCAUUUCACCGUAUCUUCAGUUCUAGCGGGGUAGGUUAGACAGGUAUUAUUGUUAUUUUAUACAGAUGAGGAAGUUGAGGUUUAGCCAGAAAGCUGCAGAGGCAGAGUUUGUAGCAUUUUCAAUGGAGAAACCCUGGAAUGAACGGGCGAAGUAGAGAGGAGGGAGGAGAAGAAACUUGAGACGGUGAGGUAGGGUAUUAUUGCGGGCUGAAGGUGAAAUCUUGUAGACUUGAGAAGUUGACAAGAAUUGAAAAAUAUUAGCACUUCGUAACUAACGGUGUUAUAAUACCACAAGCUGAAGCAAAAUUUGUUGUUUAUUUUUUCAGCCUUCCCGGUUAUUUUAAGCCGAUAAACUUAUUUUUAUGGGCGUGGAGGAACCGGAUGCUCGCGCCGCCAACCACUGGGGUUUUUUAGAGAGGCAGUAUCAAGAAGUAGUUAAAAGCAGGAACUCCAAACUAUCCGGGUUCGAAUUCUGACUCUGCCCUUGACUAGUUCUGUGACCCUGGCCAAGUUAGCUUAUGUGCUUCACUUUACUCAUCUGCAAAGUAGGAGUGAUAAACCUAUUUAUCAUGAGGGAUGAAAACGAGUUAAUACAUGUGAAACGCUUAAAACAGUGUCUGGAAUCAUUUUGUCCUUCCCUUGUCUUGGAGAAACUGCUCCCAUCCUGCAGGUACCCCCAACAGGUAAACACUCACUCAUUUGAAGCUUUGGCCUUGAAGAUUUCAAAGGAAGGAGCUGAGAUAUGCUUUUUCCUCGAUUUAUGUCGUCUGGAGUUCUGGAGUGGAGCUGUUGCCCUGGGUUGGUGCGCUGAAGACCACCAUUGCAGUCACAGCUGGUAA
Molecule: long non-coding RNA, 1165 nt
Filed under: Ursus thibetanus thibetanus
Lineage: Eukaryota; Metazoa; Chordata; Mammalia; Carnivora; Ursidae
Description: lncRNA (ENSUTTG00000002704.1)
Source: RNAcentral